GACGAACGCUGGCGGCGGGCUUAACACAUGCAAGUCGAACGGAAAGGCCCUGCUUUUGUGGGGUGCUCGAGUGGCGAACGGGUGAGUAACACGUGAGUAACCUGCCCUUGACUUUGGGAUAACUUCAGGAAACUGGGGCUAAUACCGGAUCGGAGCGCCUGCUGCAUGGUGGGGGUGGGAAAGUGUCGGCGGGUGGGGAUGGACUCGCGGCUUAUCAUCUUGCUGGUGGGGUAGUGGCUUACCAAGGCUUUGACGGGUAGCCGGCCUGAGAGGGUGACCGGCCACAUUGGGACUGAGAUACGGCCCAGACUCCUACGGGAGGCAGCAGUGGCGAAUAUUGCACAAUGGGCGGAAGCCUGAUGCAGCAACGCCGCGUGCGGGAUGACGGCCUUCGGGUUGUAAACCGCUUUCGCCUGUGACGAAGCGUGAGUGACGGUAAUGGGUAAAGAAGCACCGGCUAACUACGUG
Molecule: ribosomal RNA, 468 nt
Filed under: uncultured bacterium
Lineage: Bacteria
Description: partial 16S ribosomal RNA
Rfam family: Bacterial small subunit ribosomal RNA
Source: RNAcentral